UUAAGUAGACCGCCUGGGGAGUACGGUCGCAAGAUUAAAACUCAAAUGAAUUGACGGGGGCCCGCACAAGCGGUGGAGCAUGUGGUUUAAUUCGAUGCAACGCGAAGAACCUUACCUACUCUUGACAUCCAGAGAAGCCAGCGGAGACACAGGUGUGCCUUCGGGAGCUCUGAGACAGGUGCUGCAUGGCUGUCGUCAGCUCGUGUCGUGAGAUGUUGGGUUA
RNAcentral lists this ribosomal RNA (223 nucleotides) under Vibrio sp. a5s1. Its description in RNAcentral is "partial 16S ribosomal RNA". It matches the Rfam family "Bacterial small subunit ribosomal RNA", at positions 860 to 1082 of the family's 1533-position model. The record is from RNAcentral. Lineage: Bacteria; Pseudomonadati; Pseudomonadota; Gammaproteobacteria; Vibrionales; Vibrionaceae.